AUGGAGGGGAACAUGAUUACAACAGCGGGGACCGGAACCGGAGCUGACUCUGUAACCAUGGUAACAGGUCCCACUGGCACCCCGGACCUCCAGGUUCUGACCCACAGAGUGAAGCUUCUAGAGCACAGCCUGAGAGACAACGUCAGCUCCUUCACUGAGUCUGAGAGCGCUCUGCACAACAGGAUUAGAGAGUUGGAGGUGUCAGAACAGAGCCUGCUACAGAAGGUGGAGGACCUUACUGCCAACUCAGUCCUCCACUGCCCCAGCAUGCUGCAGCGCCAGAGGCUGGACGAGCGGCUCCACACGCUGAGGGAGGAGGUACGCUCCAUGUCCCAGGAGAAGGAGCGUGGGGAUCGUGUGUGGAGGGAGAGGCUGCGGCGCUGCCAGGCCCAGCUCAGGGCUAAAGAAGAGGAGAUGGGCCGCCAGUCUCAGUACUUUGAGCACUUUAAGAGCCAGCUUCACCACAAGCUAGACAUGGCCAGAGACAAGGAGCAGGGCCUUCAAACCAGACUCCACCAGCUGGAGCGACAGGUGCUGGAGAUGAACGUAUCUGCUGCCACCUACAUAGCCCCUGUCAACACAGCUAGCACCAACUCCGUUACUGCAGCCAAUGUCAAUCCCAUCAUAGUACCAACCUCAGGCCAACAGAGAACAGAGACAGAGAGACUGCCCCACCCAAGGGAGGAAGGACAAGGAGAGGAGGAGGACGGUGAGGAGAAGACACAGCGGAGACACUACGGACAACAGCUCCAGCAGAAGCAGGGAGCGGAUGAUAGAGAAAUAGAGGGAGAAAGAGAGGGGGAGGAAGAGGGUGAGAGUCUGGGGGGUGAGGCUAGACUGAGAAGCUUCAUCCUCAGCCUCCAGGAGGACCUCCGGGUUCUGCUGGAGAGGGAGGAGCAGGAGCUGGCGGAGCAGAGGGGGCUGAUGGAACAGCUGCAGGAAGCGCAGGAGAACAACCACUUCUUGUCCUGUACGUUGGAGGAGAUGAGGACGGUGGUCCACAGACUGAAGCUGACAGAGAGCUCCCUGAUGGAGGAGGUGGAGGAGCUGCAAGAGGAGAACCAGAGACUGUGUCAGAGGCUCAGCCACACCCUGAGACAGACCAACCACAGCCUGGGUUCUACUGACCCCAACCCUGUCGCUACCCCCAGCCUGGCUACCUCCCUGACAAACGCCCCUGGCCUGAGUCCGCAGAGCAGGGAACUGGUUGACAACACUGACCUGGUGAAGAUGAUCCCAGGCCAGUCUUCACUAGACACACCUCACUCUGCUCAACACCAUGGAGCAACAGAGAGGUCACAGGAAAACUCCACUCUGCCUCUGCCCCAGCCGGACCUCCUGAACCUCUCAGGCCACCGUAGCCAGAACCCCUGCCUCAUAUCCCUGGGUACUAAGAGCAUUGAGGGUCUGGGGGAGUUGACCCUGAGGGACUGGUGUCCUGGUCCUGGGGGCGUCCCCUCUCUCAACCUGGAGGAGGGGACAAGCGAGGAGACUGAGGCCCUGAGAGAGGCUUACAGGAGCAUGGGGGGCGACAUGGACUCACUCCGGGACCACAGGGACCAGCUGGAGAGCACGCUACGACACACACAGGACCAGCUGCACAGGGUGACCGAGGAGAACGCCCGACUGAAAUGUAAACUCAGGGCGCAGGGAGAAACAGGGGCCUGCGAGGUGGAGCAGGGGUCCUCGCUUGUAGGCGAGAGCAUGACAAAUGUCCAGGAAAACAAGGUGCCAACUCCAAACCUAAUACCCCAGGGGAGCAGAGAGCUCACUGCAACUCCAUAUCAGAAUGAUACUAUCCUAGCCUUAGCCCAGGAUGACCUGUCCCUGUAUGCCUUAGCCCAGGAUGACCUAGCCCUAGCCUUGAACCAGGAGAACCGGGCCCUGGGCAGGCGUAUCCAGGAGCUCCUAGCCCACAUAGAGCGCCAGGAGGGGGAGAGUGAGAGGGAGCUAGUCCAGCUCAGGCUGCAGGUGUCCCUGCUAGAGAGGGAGAGCACCAGGCUGGAGCAAGAGAACCAGGAGCAGGGAGGUCUCAUCACUGAACUGACCAGGAAGACUGAGGAUGACCUCAACACUAUCAUAGAGCUGCAGGAAAGACGGGUUGAGAGCAGUCAGCUAGGCCUACAGCAGGAGGACCGUUUGACCACGGAGUCAACGUGCAGGCUUCGAGAGAACAGGGACGAGCUGAUUGUCUAUCUCAGUGAUCUCAAAGAGGAAAGAGAACAGGUGUCCCUCUCACUUAGCAGUCAGACAGAGGAGAAACACCAGCUAACACGCUCCAUGUGGGUUCUGAAAGAAGAACGCGACCAGAUCCAUAAGUCACUCUGCGGUUUAAAAGAAGAGAAAGAACAGCUGACAAGGUCCCUCUGUGGUCUGAAAGAUGAGAGAGACAAGGUGAUGCGGUCAAUGUGUGGUUUAAAAGAGGGGAGAGACCAGCUAGUUCAGUCAAUGUCUGGACUCCAGGAGGAGAGAGACCAGCCAGUUCAGUCAAUGUCUGGACUCCAGGAGGAUAGAGACCAGCCAGUUCAGUCAAUGUCUGGACUCCAGGAGGAGAGAGACCAGCCAGUUCAGUCAAUGUCUGGACUCCAGGAGGAUAGAGACCAGCCAGUUCAGUCAAUGUCUGGACUCCAGGAGGAGAGAGACCAGCCAGUUCAGUCAAUGUCUGGACUCCAGGAGGAGAGAGACCAGCUAGUUCAGUCAAUGUCUGGACUCCAGGAGGAGAGAGACCAGCUAGUUCAGUCAAUGUCUGGACUCCAGGAGGAGAGAGACCAGCUAGUUCAGUCAAUGUCUGGACUCCAGGAGGAGAGAGACCAGCUAGUUCAGUCAAUGUCUGGACUCCAAGAGGAGAGACACCAGCCAGUUCAGUCAAUGUCUGGACUACAGGAGGAGAGAGACCAGCCAGUUCAGUCAAUGUCUGGACUCCAGGAGGAGAGAGACCAGCCAGUUCAGUCAAUGUCUGGACUACAGGAGGAGAGAGACCAGCUAGUUCAGUUAAUGUCUGGACUCCAGGAGGAGAGAGACCAGCUAGUUCAGUCAAUGUCUGGACUCCAGGAGGAGAGAGACCAGCUAGUUCAGUCAAUGUCUGGACUCCAGGAGGAGAGAGACCAGCUAGUUCAGUCAAUGUCUGGACUCCAGGAGGAGAGAGACCAGCUAGUUCAGUCAAUGUCUGGACUCCAGGAGGAGAGAGACAAGCUCUCGCAGUCAAUGUCUGGACUCCAGGAGGAGAGAGACCAGCUAGUUCAGUCAAUGUCUGGACUCCAGGAGGAGAGAGACCAGCUAGUUCAGUCAAUGUCUGGACUCCAGGAGGCGAGAGACCAGCUAGUUCAGUCAAUGUCUGGACUACAGGAGGAGAGAGACCAGCUAGUUCAGUCAAUGUCUGGACUCCAGGAGGAGAGAGACCAGCUAGUUCAGUCAAUGUCUGGACUCCAGGAGGAGAGAGACAAGCUCUCGCAGUCUCUCUUCAGCCAAAAAGAUGAGAGAGACCAGUUGAUGCAGUCAAUGUGUGGUUUAAAGGGACAGAGGGACCAGCUAACACAGACACUCAGCCGUCUAGAGCAGGAGAGAGACAAGCUGUCAUCUCUCAGUCUUCAAACACGAGAGAGGUACCAGGUGGACCAGUUUGUCUCUGAUCUAAAAGAAGAGAAGGAGCAGCUAGUUCAGUCAAUGGAUGUUCUGAGAGAACAGAGAGAACAGCUCACAGAGGAGAGAGACCAGUUGCAGAUGGACGUCGCUACUCUACGGAAUCAGCUGCUGUUACAGGGGUGGAGCCACAACCAGCAGCCCUCAGAGAACCAUGUUGGCAAGGCAACACGCACAGAGGUUGUGGCUACAGAGAGAGGGGGUCAGAUGCCAAAAACGCAUGAUGAUGGUGAUGUCACUCAUAGAUGCCUGGCCACGGUCUACUCCUACAAGACCAUCCGUCUGGCGCAGUCUGCACAGGACCAUUUGGGAGAGAAAGAGGGAACAGAUGUGGAGCAGAGUGGACUGAUGAGGGAGAUCGAGUCGCUGGGGUUAGAACUCAGAAGCUCACGAGAGGUACUGAAGAAGACCCAAUCAGAGAGUGUUGCUCUGAAGGAGCUGAGUUCAGAGUACACAUCUCUGAAGAGAGAGCAGGGCAGCAGAGAGGACUGGAGCAACACACUCACCUUACUGAGGGUGCGCUAUGAUGACAUCAGAGCUAAGUACAACGUUCUCCUGAGAAAGAGUCAGACGGACCAGGACAUAGCUCCUCUAAAGGCCAAGCUGUCAUGUCUCGUGGGGAAGUGCCAGCAGAGGAACAGUCUACUGGUGCAGUUGAUGCGAGCCCUGCGUCGGUAUGGCUGCCUGGACUACAAUCUGACCCAGGAGGCUGAGGACCUGCUUAACGACACAGCGCUGCAGGACUACGCCAGCACCUUCACACCCCCAUCCGCUGCAGCUCUGCAGGAGAACACCCCCCUUCUCCCACCUGCAGCCUCAGAACGACCGGAGCGCUCACAGACCUCUGCUGCAGCCUCCACAGCACAGGAGCUGAGUAAAGCUGUGUCUGAAGGCAGUAGGAGGGAACACUUCAGAGUGUGUGUGGCCACAGCAGACUACUGCCCCUCUCCGAACAUGCCUCACACUCUACUGCCAAUGGUAGUUGGAUUUAGAAAUAAUAAAACUCUCAGUUUCUGUGGCACAGAGUAUUCCGUCACAGAGCAUUGUUUUAAUGAAUAUAAAUACAUGAUAACAAAUGAUAUCUUGUUGCAUGUCUUAUACAGUAGGCUUAUAUUAUCCACACAUUUCUGUUACAGCUUCCCCUUUCUGCGGGUGAAUCAGUCCAAGUCACUGGACUCCCAGACAGACGUGGGAUGUACCAUGCCGAGGUGA
Salmo trutta (river trout) is the source of this 4851-nucleotide long non-coding RNA. Ensembl annotates it as rootletin-like. The record is from Ensembl. Lineage: Eukaryota; Metazoa; Chordata; Actinopteri; Salmoniformes; Salmonidae.